UAAUACGAAGGGGGCUAGCGUUGUUCGGAUUUACUGGGCGUAAAGGGCGCGUAGGCGGUGCAAUAAGUCAGGCGUGAAAGCCCCGGGCUCAACCCGGGAAUUGCGCUUGAUACUGUUGCGCUUGAAUCCAGGAGAGGAUGGCGGAAUUCCCAGUGUAGAGGUGAAAUUCGUAGAUAUUGGGAAGAACACCAGUGGCGAAGGCGGCCAUCUGGCCUGGAAUUGACGCUGAGGCGCGAAAGCGUGGGGAGCAAACAGGAUUAGAUACCCUGGUAGUCCACGCUGUAAACGAUGAGUGCUAGACGUCGGGAAGCUUGCUUUUCGGUGUCGAAGCUAACGCAUUAAGCACUCCGCCUGGGGAGUACGGCCGCAAGGUUA
Molecule: ribosomal RNA, 375 nt
Filed under: uncultured bacterium
Lineage: Bacteria
Description: bacterial SSU rRNA
Rfam family: Bacterial small subunit ribosomal RNA
Source: RNAcentral